RNAcentral lists this long non-coding RNA (309 nucleotides) under Panax ginseng (ginseng). Its description in RNAcentral is "long non-coding RNA (PGIN_LNC018464)". The record is from RNAcentral. Lineage: Eukaryota; Viridiplantae; Streptophyta; Magnoliopsida; Apiales; Araliaceae.
UGAGCCCCUUGGCCUUGAGCGAGAAGAAAUGGCCUUACUGUUGGACCCCGUAAGUCACCCGCCACUACCAACGCUAUCAGCAGCACCGGCCCAUGACUCUAAGCCUCCUUUCUUCAUCUCCCCAAAACCAAAACAAUUUCUUUCUCAUUCACUAUCAAUCAACCAUGCCCAUCUUUCUGCUCUGAAUGACCCUGUGACUUCGAGCUAUUACGCUUCACUACUCGAAUCCUGCAACUGCCACAGCCUUGGCAAACAAGUCCAUGCCCACACGCUUAAAAAUGGGUUUCAGGGGCAUGACUUUGUUGAGAC